RNAcentral lists this ribosomal RNA (204 nucleotides) under uncultured bacterium. RNAcentral describes it as "partial 16S ribosomal RNA". It matches the Rfam family "Bacterial small subunit ribosomal RNA", at positions 524 to 726 of the family's 1533-position model. The record is from RNAcentral.
UACGUAGGGUGCGAGCGUUGUCCGGAAUUAUUGGGCGUAAAGAGCUUGUAGGCGGUUUGUCGCGUCUGCUGUGAAAAUCCGAGGCUCAACCUCGGACUUGCAGUGGGUACGGGCAGACUAGAGUGUGGUAGGGGAGACUGGAAUUCCUGGUGUAGCGGUGGAAUGCGCCAGAUAUCAGGAGGAACACCGAUGGCGAAGGCAGGU